Molecule: unclassified non-coding RNA, 631 nt
Filed under: Hevea brasiliensis (rubber tree)
Lineage: Eukaryota; Viridiplantae; Streptophyta; Magnoliopsida; Malpighiales; Euphorbiaceae
Source: RNAcentral
GGCAUAUAUUGCUGUGGGUUGAAUGCAUAUCAGAUUAUUCAUUCAAAAGUAAAAGUUAUACCCGUUUGGUUAACUAUUCUUGCUCCUGGUUUUUAAGCACUCUGCAUCAAUGAAAGUGUUUGUAUUAUAGGGUAGGUUACACUAAAUCUGAAUGGUAAUCUGAGUUGCCUAAUUUUUGAACUCACUGAUUAUGAAUGUUUGGAGUCUCACAGUAGAUGUGAGAUUUAAUGGCUAUUAUUUUCUUUUGGGUUGGGUUAGUUUUCCACUUGCAAGAAAUGUGUAUAAUAUUACUAAAAAGUAUGUUAUCCAAAUUAAAAAAAAAAAAUAAUUGAUUGAGCUAAUAAAUAGAGCUAAAACGUAUACCAAGUUGGUGAGUUUGAACCUUUAACCUGUAGCCUGAAUUCACAACUUGUUGCACAUGAUGUCUCCUUUUUUUUAUAGUAUUCAUUUCCUCAUCCUGCUAGUGUAGAUUUAUGGUUUGUCAUUGUUUGCGCCAACUGACCACUGGAUUUCUGAAACAGUGGGAUUUAUCCUUCAGACAUCCUUCCGUAUCAAUUACAAGCUUAUGUUUGUGGGACUUACACGUCGCUACCCGAGUCACUAUUAACUAAAAUAAAAGCUGCAGUUGAUG